UACGGGGGGAGCAAGCGUUGUUCGAAUUUACUGGGCGUAAAGGGCGCGUAGGCGGCCAGCACAAGUCAGUUGUGAAAUCUCCGAGCUUAACUCGGAAAGGUCAACUGAUACUGUGCGGCUAGAGUGCAGAAGGGGCAACUGGAAUUCUUGGUGUAGCGGUGAAAUGCGUAGAUAUCAAGAGGAACACCUGCGGCGAAGGCGGGUUGCUGGGCUGACACUGACGCUGAGGCGCGAAAGCUAGGGGAGCGAACGGG
RNAcentral lists this ribosomal RNA (254 nucleotides) under uncultured bacterium. RNAcentral describes it as "partial 16S ribosomal RNA". It matches the Rfam family "Bacterial small subunit ribosomal RNA", at positions 524 to 776 of the family's 1533-position model. The record is from RNAcentral.